UUGGGGUUUGAGCAUCAGGGCCUUAGUGACUUUCCCUGAUAUCCCUGUGAACCAGCAGGGAGAUGAGAUUCCCAUAGCAAGAAAGACUCCUAUAGGCAGACUCAUUCCUCAGAGUGCCUUUGUUUUCCUCUGGACUGAAACCCAAAUGCUCCUCCCACCCUUCUGAUCUUGGAAGUCAAGCCCCUUUGUAAUCUACAUAAACUCCACUCCCCAGGAAUCCAGUGACUGCAGAAACUGGCCUUCCACUUGCUCUUGCCUGGAAUCCAAGCUAGAGUCCCAGGCUCCUCCAGGGGACUGAGGCCACCAUGGCUCAGGAGAAGUCCCUCAUCCUGUUCCCACUGCUAGUCCUGGUGCUGUUAGUGCUGGGGUGGGUCCAGCCUUCCCUGGGCAAGGAAUCACGGGCCAUGAAGUUCCAGCGGCAACACAUGGACCCAGACGGCCCCAGCAACAACUCCAACUACUGCAACCAAAUGAUGAGGCGCCGGCAUAUGACAGAGGGAUGGUGCAAGCCAGUGAACACCUUCGUGCACGAGCCUCUGGUAGAUGUCCAGGCCGUUUGCCUCCAGGGAAACAUCACCUGCAAGAAUGGGCAGCCCAACUGCCACAAGAGCAGCUCCAGCAUGAAGAUCACGGACUGUCGUGUGACGAGCGGCUCCAAGUACCCCAACUGUGCCUACCGAACCAGCCAGAAAGAGAAGCACAUCAUCGUGGCCUGUGAGGGAAACCCGUACGUGCCCGUCCACUUUGAUGCUUCAGUAGAGGUCUCCACCUGAGACCAGAGCAGUGAGAUGCCCCACCUCAUUGUGUCGCCUGUCUCUCCCUCCUCCUUCCUAGCACUGAGGGAAAUGACUCAAGCUCCAGGUCCAGAAAAACAGCAAACCCAGAUGAAGCAAUGACAUCCUGGCUUUGGGAUCUGAUGCAAUGACUAAUGAUCUCCCAUCCUAGUACCAACCAAUCAGUAGAGGUCACCACCCUGAAAGGACACACUUGUAAAGCUGAUGAAGAUUCUAUUGGGAUCCUCCCCUGAGACCUCUUCUAAAACCCACGCCUUUGAAAAAUAGAAGCCCUCAAAAUGAAGAAGGACCAGCCCCUGCCCCCCCACUCUCUCUUCUCCCUCUCUCUGUCUCUCUCUCUCACACCCCUUUCCCUAUCCCCUUCUUCCCUCAGGUGCACUCUCUCUCUAGAGCAUGCUCAAGCCUUUCCUUCCCCUUUCUUCGAUCA
This is an RNA transcript of Myotis brandtii (Brandt's bat), 1221 nucleotides long. It is a transcript of the gene named ribonuclease pancreatic, with no coding region annotated. The record is from RefSeq and is a predicted model, not a curated record. The transcript is spliced from 3 exons. NCBI's taxonomy places the organism in Eukaryota, Metazoa, Chordata, Mammalia, Chiroptera, Vespertilionidae.